UGCAGUCGAGGGGCAACGCGAGUAGCAAUACUUGGGCGGCGACCGGCGCAAGGGUGCGUAAUGCGUGAGCAACAUGCCCGUAUCAGGGGGAUAAUCCAGGGAAACUUGGUCUAAUACCCCAUAGUAAUUUUGUAAGGCAUCUUAUAAGAUUUAAAGCUUUGGUGGAUACGGAUUGGCUCGCGUGACAUUAGCUGGAUGGUAAGGUAACGGCUUACCAUGGCUAUGAUGUCUAGGGGUUCUGAGAGGAAGGUCCCCCACACUGGAACUGAGACACGGUCCAGACUCCUACGGGAGGCAGCAGUGAGGAAUAUUGGACAAUGGAUGGAAAUCUGAUCCAGCCAUGCCGCGUGAAGGAAGAAGGUCCUAUGGAUUGUAAACUUCUUUUGUAUGGGAGCAAUAAGGCCUACGUGUAGGUUGAUGAGAGUACCAUACGAAUAAGCACCGGCUAACUCCGUGCCAGCAGCCGCGGUAAUACGGAGGGUGCAAGCGUUAUCCGGAUUUAUUGGGUUUAAAGGGUGCGUAGGCGGUUAUUUAAGUCAGUGGUGAAAGUUUUCGGCUCAACCGGAAAAUUGCCAUUGAUACUGGGUAGCUAGAAUAUGGUUGCUGUGAGUAGAAUGUGUGGUGUAGCGGUGAAAUGCAUAGAUAUCACACAGAAUACCGAUUGCGAAGGCAUCUCACAAAGCCAUCAUUGACGCUGAGGCACGAAAGUGUGGGGAUCAAACAGGAUUAGAUACCCUGGUAGUCCACACUGUAAACGAUGAUAACUAGCUGUUGGCGAUACACAGUCAGUGGCCAAGCGAAAGCGAUAAGUUAUCCACCUGGGGAGUACGAACCGCAGGUUGAAACUCAAAGGAAUUGACGGGGGCCCGCACAAGCGGAGGAACAUGUGGUUUAAUUCGAUGAUACGCGAGGAACCU
RNAcentral lists this ribosomal RNA (917 nucleotides) under uncultured bacterium. Its description in RNAcentral is "bacterial SSU rRNA". It matches the Rfam family "Bacterial small subunit ribosomal RNA", at positions 56 to 971 of the family's 1533-position model. The record is from RNAcentral.